CCUACGGGAGGCAGCAGUGGGGAAUAUUGGGCAAUGGAGGAAACUCUGACCCAGCAACGCCGCGUGAAUGAUGAAGGUCUUCGGAUUGUAAAGUUCUUUUCUAAGGGAAGAAGAAAGUGACGGUACCUUAGGAAUAAGUCUCGGCUAACUACGUGCCAGCAGCCGCGGUAAUACGUAGGAGGCAAGCGUUAUCCGGAAUGACUGGGCGUAAAGGGCGCGUAGGUGGUUUGACAAGUUAGUAUCGUAACUCCGAGGCUUAACCUCGGCACUACUACCAAAACUGUUGGACUCGAGUGCAGGAGGGGCAAGUGGAAUUCCUGGUGUAGCGGUGGAAGGCGUAGAUAUUAGGAGGAACACCAGUGGCGAAGGCGAUUUGCUGGACUGUAACUGACACUGAGGCACGAAAGCGUGGGGAGCAAACAGGAUUAGAUACCCCAGUAGUC
Molecule: ribosomal RNA, 443 nt
Filed under: uncultured bacterium
Lineage: Bacteria
Description: partial 16S ribosomal RNA
Rfam family: Bacterial small subunit ribosomal RNA
Source: RNAcentral